Molecule: ribosomal RNA, 247 nt
Filed under: uncultured bacterium
Lineage: Bacteria
Description: partial 16S ribosomal RNA
Rfam family: Bacterial small subunit ribosomal RNA
Source: RNAcentral
ACUCCUACGGGAGGCAGCAGCGACGAAUCUUCCGCAAUGCACGAAAGUGUGACGGAGCAAUGCCGCGUGUGGGAUGAAUCGGCUCUGCCGUGUAAACCACUGUCAGGAGCUAGUAAUACUGAACAGCUCCAGAGGAAGGGCCGGCUAACCUCGUGCCAGCAGCCGCGGUAAUACGAGGGGCCCGAGCGUUAUUCGGAAUCACUGGCUUAAAGGGAACGCAGGCUGGCUCGAAAGCAUCUCGUGAAAU